AUGGAUUCGCCUCCGCCGCAACGCCGACUCCAAUCGCUGGUCGACGACGCCAUCCGCGAGAUUUUGCUCCGGAAACCGCCGGACGACCCGGCGAGGCUCGUCCGCGCCUCCGCUGUCUCCACCGCCUGGUUCGGAAUCGUCUCCGACCCUUCCUUCUUUCGCGACUACCGGACCUUCCACGGGAAGCCCCCGAUAUUGGGCUACCUCGACAACAAAUCCUACGAGAGCCACAACGUCGCCCAAUUCAUCCCCACCGGAGCCUUCCGCCCGCUCGUUUGCGAGCGCCGCAACUGGGACGCGGUCGACUCCCGCCAUGGCCGCGUCCUCUUCUACACUCCCAAGGAGGACACGGAUUUCAUCGUUUGGGACCCCAUCACCGACAAGCAGCAGGUGAUUUCCGCCGAUCCCAAGAUAUUUGACAUACUUUGUACUGCAGAGGGGAUAACCUGGAUGGCCACUGUGCUCUGCGCCAAGGACGCCUGCGAUCACCUGGGCUGCCAUGACGGUCCCUUCCUCGUCGCCUUCAUGGGCUCCAACGAGGUAGAAAAGACCAUGUUCGCCUCUGUUUACUCAUCCGAGACUACCCAGUGGAGCGAAAUGAUCUCAAUUGAGAAUCCGCAUGAUAUCUAUCCGUUUGCCACCAACACAUGUCCGUAUGCCAUUGAGGAGAAGGGCCACACUGCCGUUGUCGGAAAGAAAAUCUAUUACCCCGUCAAGUGGAGCUACUGGACCAUGAAAAUUGUGACGUACAAUGUGGGCGAGCAGGAACUUUCACUUAUCAAUUUGCAGGGCCAGGCACCCGCGCGCGGUAUACUCAUGGGAGAGGAAGACGGUGCGCUGGUGUUUGCGGCCAUAAAGGAGUCUAAACUCUCUGUGUGGUCAAUGGAGGCUGGUCCCAAUGGAGUUGUGGCGAGAGGGCAACGCAGGGACAUCAAGCUUGAAACUAUUCUUACUCCUCGUGCCCUCUCAUGGAUGGUAGGCGAAACCUUCAAGGAUGGUAGAUGCACACUGGUUGGUUUCGCCAAUGGUGCCGGUGUCAUCUUCCUAAAUACAGCAGAUGGGCUCUUUACAGUUGAGGUCGGUUCUGGCCAAACCAAGAAGAUACACAGAAACUGCAGCUUCGAGACAGUCAUACCCUAUGUGAGCUUCUACAGUCGAGAGCAUGCCAGGUUCGUAAUGCCACUGCAAUCAAACUCAUACAAGAAGUGA
RNAcentral lists this ribosomal RNA (1209 nucleotides) under Triticum aestivum (bread wheat). RNAcentral describes it as "partial small subunit ribosomal RNA". The record is from RNAcentral. Lineage: Eukaryota; Viridiplantae; Streptophyta; Magnoliopsida; Poales; Poaceae.